This 147-nucleotide ribosomal RNA is filed under the name Clostridioides difficile. RNAcentral's name for it is "partial 23S ribosomal RNA". It matches the Rfam family "Bacterial large subunit ribosomal RNA", at positions 2783 to 2925 of the family's 2925-position model. Lineage: Bacteria; Bacillati; Bacillota; Clostridia; Peptostreptococcales; Peptostreptococcaceae. The record is from RNAcentral.
AAGCGCGAAGCCAACUUCAAGAUAAGAUUUCCCACCGCAAGGGUAAGACUCCAGAAAGACUAUCUGGUUGAUAGGUCGAAGGUGUAAGUGCAGCAAUGUAUUUAGCUUAUCGAUACUAAUAGGUCGAGGACUUGACCAAUAUUUAUU